RNAcentral lists this ribosomal RNA (1745 nucleotides) under Ideoblothrus sp. JM-2008. RNAcentral describes it as "SSU rRNA". It matches the Rfam family "Eukaryotic small subunit ribosomal RNA". Lineage: Eukaryota; Metazoa; Arthropoda; Arachnida; Pseudoscorpiones; Syarinidae. The record is from RNAcentral.
UGCAUGUCUAAGUACACGCCUUAGCAAGGCGAAACCGCGAAUGGCUCAUUAAAUCAGUUAUGGUUCCUUAGAUCGUACACUAUUACUUGGAUAACUGUGGUAAUUCUAGAGCUAAUACAUGCAGCUGAGCCCUCUAUGGUCCCUCGUGGAACUGGAGGGUGCUUUUAUUAGACCAAGACCAAACGGGAUCUCCGGAUCCCGAUCGUCAUGGUGACUCUGGAUAACUCUGGCGGAUCGCACGGUCAUAGCACCGGCGACGCAUCUUUCAAGUGUCUGCCUUAUCAACUGUCGAUGGUAGGCUAUGCGCCUACCAUGGUUGUUACGGGUAACGGGGAAUCAGGGUUCGAUUCCGGAGAGGGAGCAUGAGAAACGGCUACCACAUCCAAGGAAGGCAGCAGGCGCGCAAAUUACCCACUCCCGGCACGGGGAGGUAGUGACGAAAAAUAACAAUACGGGACUCUUUCGAGGCCCCGUAAUUGGAAUGAGUACACUCUAAACCCUUUAACGAGGAUCUAUUGGAGGGCAAGUCUGGUGCCAGCAGCCGCGGUAAUUCCAGCUCCAAUAGCGUAUAUUAAAGUUGUUGCGGUUAAAAAGCUCGUAGUUGGAUCUCAGUCGCGCUCCCAUCGCCGCGCCGCAAGGUGUCGAGCGUUGGGGCCGGCAAACCGUCGGUCGACACGCUUGGCCUUCAAAAGCUGAGCGCGUGGUCCGGCACCUUUACUUUGAAAAAAUUAGAGUGCUCAGAGCAGGCCGAGGCCUGGAUACCGGUGCAUGGAAUAAUGGAAUAGGACCUCGGUUCUAUUUUGUUGGUUUUUGGAUCCCGAGGUAAUGAUUAAGAGGGACAGCCGUGGGCAUUCGUAUUGCGGCGACAGAGGUGAAAUUCUUGGACCGCUGCAAGACGAACUACUGCGAAAGCAUUUGCCAAGAAUGUUUUCAUUAAUCAAGAACGAAAGUUAGAGGUUCGAAGGCGAUCAGAUACCGCCCUAGUUCUAACCAUAAACGAUGCCAACCAGCAAUCCGCCUGAGUUUCUAUACGACUCGGCGGGCAGCUUCCGGGAAACCACAGUGUUUGGGUUCCGGGGGAAGUAUGGUUGCAAAGCUGAAACUUAAAGGAAUUGACGGAAGGGCACCACCAGGAGUGGAGCCUGCGGCUUAAUUUGACUCAACACGGGGAAACUUACCCGGCCCGGACACCGGAAGGAUUGACAGAUUAAUAGCUCUUUCUUGAUUCGGUGGGUGGUGGUGCAUGGCCGUUCUUAGUUGGUGGAGUGAUUUGUCUGGUUAAUUCCGAUAACGAACGAGACUCUAGCCUACUAAAUAGACCCACGACCCUAGGUGUCGUGAGCGGGUCUUCUUAGAGGGACAGGCGGCUUUUAGCCGCACGAAACAGAGCAAUAACAGGUCUGUGAUGCCCUUAGAUGUCCGGGGCCGCACGCGCGCUACACUGAAGGGAUCAGCGUGUGUCUACCCUAGUUCGAAAGGACCGGGUAAUCCGUUGAACCCCCUUCGUGAUGGGGAUAGGGGAUUGUAAUUGUUCCCCUCGAACGAGGAAUUCCCAGUAAGCGCGAGUCAUCAGCUCGCGUUGAUUACGUCCCUGCCCUUUGUACACACCGCCCGUCGCUACUACCGAUUGAAUGAUUUAGUGAGGUCUUCGGACUGGUGCGAGGAGCGGUUUUUAUCGUUCUUCGCGUCGGGAAGAUGACCGAACUUGAUCAUUUAGAGGAAGUAAAAGUCGUAACAAGGUUGCC